Rattus norvegicus (Norway rat) is the source of this 1237-nucleotide non-coding RNA. Lineage: Eukaryota; Metazoa; Chordata; Mammalia; Rodentia; Muridae. The record is from RefSeq and is a predicted model, not a curated record.
AGUUACAGACUGGUUAGAGGAUCACACUUCUAGCAGUGCCAACGUAGGCCGAUUCAGCAUCUUGGAAGGAAAACCACUGACCAGCGAGGAACCAAAGGAGGCUCGAGACAGCUUAGAACUUAGGUGAACUAUUACAGUUAGCCAGCAGGGUGGAAGCUUCAGAUGGGUGCCAGCUUAUUUCUGAGUGAAGAGAAACCUAUGGAAUGGAAGAAUUCAACGGGGGACAGAAUCUGGACUACAGAAAGAACUCACUCAAAUACCAGGAAACAAAAGAGCCCACUUAAAACAUGGACUGUGGCUCUAAACUCCUCACAAAUCUCCCAAUUUUCUUGCCAUUUUGUAACGUUUGCGCAAGAGACAAAACUUCCCCACUCACAACCCUUUUGACAUUUAUUUUAUCUUGUUUUUCCUUUCCUCACUUAAAAUUGUUAUUUUUUUUGGCUGUUAAAUGCUAUAAAUUCAAUUUGUUUCUAAUUGAUGAGAUUCUGCUGUUGGUGUCGUUUCUUAAUAGCUUUGUCCAUUUAUCGAAAUAUUUCCCAUCACUUAUUUAGAAGUAAAUGGUCUUUCCUAAAGUGUUUUGGAGAAAGAGUAGGUCAGGAAAGUUCCUGGACUUUCACUUUUGGGACUGUGUCAACCCUUUGGUCUUUCUUGCAGGCUUUUUUUGUGGUAGGUUUAUUACUUUUCUUCUAGUUCUUCACCAGAUGGUGGAAUAUUCCACAGAACCUCAGUGGUGUUUAAGCUUUCCAACAAACUACUACCUCCCAACUAAAAAGAAUUUCAAAAGUCUCAGUGUGAACAUGUCUUAUGGCAUUUGGCAUUACCAAUUUCUUUUGAUUAUGCGAAUGUAUUAUAUUUAAUGUCUUUUCUGGGUUUUCCAGAAGACAGUUAACAGUCAAUACAUGCUACUUUUUGACCUUAAGAGACCUGGUUCUUCCUUUACACAAAGGUUUUGCUUACUGACUCCUAAGCUCCUAAGUAAUUCCCAAAGACCGGCUGGUAGGGCACAGUAACUUCCUAGUGGUUCAGAAUGCUUUUCCAUUCCUACUGUCACUAAGGAGACCAACAAGUGUAGUUGUCCAUAUGUCCUUUGGCAGUUUGUGGUUCCUCGUCUGUAAUCAAAUUAUAACCCUACAUUGUUUGGACAUGUAUGAACAUGCAUGUCUUUCUGAUUAGCCACCUUUAAAAAUAUUUUGUCUUUGACUUUUUCAAAAAAGAAUAAAGUUUGUCACUUAAACAU